Molecule: ribosomal RNA, 121 nt
Filed under: uncultured Alphaproteobacteria bacterium
Lineage: Bacteria; Pseudomonadati; Pseudomonadota; Alphaproteobacteria
Description: partial 16S ribosomal RNA
Rfam family: Bacterial small subunit ribosomal RNA
Source: RNAcentral
AUAUAGCCAUGCCGCGUGAGUGAUGAAGGCCUUAGGGUUGUAAAGCUCUUUCUCCAGAGAUGAUAAUGACAGUAUCUGGUAAAGAAAGCCCGGCUAACUCCGUGCCAGCACCCGCGGUAAU